GUGAGGAAUUUUCCACAAUGGACGAAAGUCUGAUGGAGCGACGCCGUGUGUGCGAUGAAGUCCUUCGGGAUGUAAAGCACUGUCAGUGGGGACGAUAUUGACGGUACCCACAGAGGAAGGCCCGGCUAACUACGUGCCAGCAGCCGCGGUAAUACGUAGGGGCCAAGCGUUGUCCGGAAUCAUUGGGCGUAAAGGGCGCGUAGGCGGCCCGGUAAGUCGGAUGUUAAAUCCACAGGCUCAACCUGUGGCCGCAUCCGAUACUGCCAGGCUAGAGAAUGGUAGAGGAAAGCGGAACUUCCGGUGUAGCGGUGAAAUGCGUAGAUAUCGGAAGGAACACCAGUGGCGAAGGCGGCUUUCUGGGCCAUUUCUGACGCUGAGGCGCGAAAGCCAGGGGAGCAAACGGGAUUAGAAACCCGUGUAGUCC
This 424-nucleotide ribosomal RNA is filed under the name uncultured bacterium. RNAcentral describes it as "bacterial SSU rRNA". It matches the Rfam family "Bacterial small subunit ribosomal RNA", at positions 354 to 796 of the family's 1533-position model. The record is from RNAcentral.